UACUUGGUUCACGGAAACAGAGGUUUACACUCUCAGACGCAGACGCUGAAGAAGAAGAACGACGAAGCAGCACACACACCCACACUACAGAGAGAGGCGGGGUCAUUUCUUUAUCAACCAAAACCAAACGCCGUCGUCGUCAGCCAUUAGGUACUUGUUGUACUCCAUCGAUGUACGAAAAUAUGUAUAGAAUUGUCCUCUGCUGAACAUUUGAUAUUGCGUGCUAGUAAUUUCUACAGGCUUCUAGGGUUUCUGUAAUUGGUUUUACUUAUGCAUGUUUUACCUCUUUUUUUAGAUGAAUAAAAGGCGGAUUUUGAUCCAACAGUCGGCAUUUGUUUUUGGUUUAAUAUGAAUUUUAUGAAUAUACUGUGGAUUGUGAAUCUAUCAUGGAUUUGAUAAGCUGAACCUACCGAUGGUGAUGCCAUAUUAUAAUUAGGUCCCUUCAUUCACAAAAAUUGAAAAUUUAACUGAUUACUUUGCCAGCUUCUUGUUCAAUUUGCAACUGUUUUUUGUUUCUCAUUAGUCAUCUCAAGCAUGACUUGGGUUGGUGCUGAAUUUGAUGGUUUCUUAAAUUUUUGUUUUUGUUUUAUAAAAUAUAUGAAUUCAGUAGCCAUGAAGGUGCGUUCCUCUGUGAAGAAAAUGUGUGAGUUUUGUAAGACAGUUAAACGUCGCGGGCGUGUUUAUGUGCUUUGCACAGCCAAUCCCAAGCAUAAGCAAAGACAGGGCAUGUCAACAUUUGCAUACGAAGGCACGGUGUCUUCCAUGUACGUUUCCUUUCAUGCUUUCAUUUUGCUUUUUUUAUGCUUUUAUAUGUUUACUUUGGCAAAUUCUUCUGAUUGCGUUAAUCUUAAAAGGAAACAUCCCAUUCAGAAUCUCCCAUGUUAAGCACCCCGUAAUCUAAGAACAAAACAUGUUAGACGAAUUCACUCCAAAUCUUCCCUAACACCUGGAGAUCCCUUGCCUCUUGUAAAUUUGUUGUACAUAGUUCGUUGGGUGGUUUUACUAAGUGAUUCUUGGAUACUUCUUAUCAUAGGCACGUAGGUUAAGCACACAAAAGGCACUUUUCCUACUAUAUGUGGACCUUCAUUUGGCAGGCCUGCAUAAGGUGGCCUGGAGCCUCCUUUUGUAUAAUAAAUGUUAUCUAGGAGAUUAGGACUUGGCAAUAUCUCCAUAGAACAAAACUCAUAGCGGCUACAAUGCUUUUAGUCAUCAAUUUGGCAGAAGAGAAACAACAAUUUAUGGAGUCAAGGAUUUAGGUUACUGCGUCUUCUAAUUCUAACUUCUGAGAUGGUGGUUGCCAUUUUUUUACACAAUUGUAUCUAGCUUACCUGCUCCAUGUGGUGUUUUUCAUGCAUGUGUGUCUAUAAUCAUACUUUUUGCUGAUAUGAAAGUAGCUUUUCAGUUUUUCAUUAGUUCUGUCUGGCAUGUAGCAUGAAUUUAGUCGUGUGUAAAGAUUUUAAAAACUUCAGAACAUGUUAGUAGUAACCUAACAUGUGAAUCUGUAUGUUCACAAACUGCUGCAUAUCUAUAUGUAGAUAUCUCACAUGCGAAUCUCUCUCUUACACAUGAACUUCCUAUAGAAAUGUGAUGUGCCAAUGGAGUGAAAUUGGCAAUUUUCUAGUUGAAUGUUUGAAUCCUUUUCAGGUACGCAGAGACUAGUGCCAAGCUGGAGAACAGCUCUGGUCACAGUGUGCAAGCAGGUCUGGCCUCUCUGAUACCCAAAAAGCACGAACCCUCGAUGCCUUCUAUACCCUCUACGAUACUUGGAUGGAGGGUGGGCCUGGCCUCCCUGCUGUUCAACGAGGCCAAGUAGCUUUGAAAUUUGAAAUGGGAAGAAUGCAAACCUUAUCUCAGUUUUUAGGUUCCUUUCUUUGGUUGUGCUGCCAGAUAUGUUCAAAAUGUUAUAAGCUCCUCUCUUUUUCUCUUGGAUUUUAGCUUUUAAUCUGCUACUAUAUAUAAUACUUCCAUCUCUCCCUCGCUUUCUGGUGUGUGUGUGUUUAGACUUAGCUGUGCUAGAGAUUCUGAUCGUAGCGACCUUACCUGCUCCACAUAUAUAACUCAGGAAAUAAGAUGGCUCGAAUUGUAAAGGACACUUUAUCUGAUUUCCUGGAAAAGAAUUAGAUGGUAUGAAAGUGAAACGUAAUUUGGAAUGGAUGUUGCAAGAGUUUUCUUUUCAUAUUCAUUUUACAGAUCAUAUGGAACCAAAUUAGUGAAUCCAUAUAAAAUUAUGAAUUAUGCGGGAAGGUCUACCCAUCUCUCGUAAGUCAUACCCGAAAGGCGAACCUUUAUAUAUCUUAAUUGACC
This 2304-nucleotide long non-coding RNA is filed under the name Prunus dulcis (almond). Its description in RNAcentral is "sRNA ncRNA". The record is from RNAcentral. Lineage: Eukaryota; Viridiplantae; Streptophyta; Magnoliopsida; Rosales; Rosaceae.